CGCGAGUCAAACAGGAAGCUGAGUAGCGGAUGUCAGAAAAGCACACCCCAGGAAAAUGACUGGAGUCUCAGCGUCGCUCGCCACUUAACGACGGCAGCAGAUGUGGCCCCCCCCUCGCCCGUUUUAAAACCGGGAAACCUCAGGGUCGAGUCAAGGGCUCAGGGGAGUCCCAGGCUGUGCGGGGUUACCUGAGACGUCCAGGUGCUCCAGGUUGGGGCAGCGG
Molecule: long non-coding RNA, 223 nt
Organism: Anguilla anguilla (European eel)
Lineage: Eukaryota; Metazoa; Chordata; Actinopteri; Anguilliformes; Anguillidae
Exons: 3
Source: RefSeq, a predicted model, not a curated record